Pelobates cultripes (western spadefoot toad) is the source of this 92-nucleotide non-coding RNA. The record is from the annotation of a GenBank genome assembly. NCBI's taxonomy places the organism in Eukaryota, Metazoa, Chordata, Amphibia, Anura, Pelobatidae.
AAGCAGCUUGGUGAGAAGGUGACAACAGUUGGUGCGAUUAUUCGCAAAUGUGUUUCUUCAACAUCUGUUGUCACCUUCUCACCAAGCUGCUC